GGGUUUAUCUGCCUCUGGAUCCAUUCAGUGUUUGUUGAAUAAAUGGCCAAUUUAAAAAUCAUUGAUUAGGAGUUCCUGUUGUGGUUCAGUGGUUAAUGAAUCCCACUAGGAACCAUGAGGUUGCAGGUUCGAUCCCUGGCCUUGCUCAGUGGGUUAAGGAUCCAGCAUUGCCGUAAGCUGUGGUGUAGGUCACAGAUGCGGUUCGGGUCCUGCGUUGCUGUGGCUGUGGUGUAGGCCGGCGGUGGCUACAGUUCUGAUUAGACCCCUAGCCUGGGAACCUCCAUAGGCUGCGGGAGCGGCCCAAGAAAUGGCAAGAAGACAAAAAAAAAAAAAAAAUCCUCCAUGAACCUGACCUUGCGGCCAGGUCUGGUGCUCUGUUAUCUGCUGUCAUUGGGAUCUCUCUGAGAGCUUGAUGACCAUUGCAUCCAUGUGCCCUGCACUGUGCCUGGGCUAUAACAGAUGCUCAGUGUUUGCAACGUAAGUAUAGGAAUAUAUGAGGCUGCUUAACUAUCACUGAAUACAUAUUUCUGGAUGCCAAUAACCAUUUACUAUACCUCUACAUCUGUUACAAGAAAAUGACUUUAUAUUUCUAUACUGAAGUCUUCUCCACUAUUGAACUAAGGGUCUUUCCCCUUCUAACUGUAAUUUCUCCUUAAGCAAUCUCAUCUAUGCCUACAGCUUUAAUUAUCACCAUUAUCUAGAUGACUCUGAAAUUAAAAUCUUCAGCCCAGAGUCCUCCCUUGAACUGUAGGUCUAUGUAUCUAAUAGUCUAUUGUACAGCUUCCUGUGAAUGUCUCAAAAGUACAUCAGCCACAUGUUUUAGUUAGGAUACUGCUAGCUAUUGUAACAAAUGUAGUCCAACCCAGCAAAACUGGAUUUCUCACCUUCAUAAUAGCCCAAUUCAGAGUUUCUAGUUGGCAAGCAGCCUCUACAUGGUCAUUUUUAGGAAAGCCUCCUUCUUUUUCACUUGCAGACUUUUGCAUGAGGUCAGUCGAUGGGUAACAGGAGGUGGGAAAAAAAACACACCUGCUUCUGAAGUUUAGUGGCCCAGUACUGUUGUCUGAACUCCCUUAGUGAGAACCAAGCACAUGGCCCCAGCUAGAUGCAGAGGAGUGGUGAGGGUUGGGAAAUAAGGUCUUUGAGCAGCUCAUUUCCACAAUAAUUCUCUGCGGUGAAAUAAGCACGGAUCUUUGGCUGACAGCUAGUCAUCUCUGAUACAUUCAUCAUGACCACAAUUCAACUAAUCUCCCAAAGUAACCAAACACCCUGCCCCUCCUCCAGUGUUCCUAUUUCCAUUGUCCCUCCUCCAGUGUUCGUAUUUCCAUUGACAACACAUCUCUGCAAAUGCCGCAGACGUAGGUAUUAUUCUUGAUGUGUUUGUGGGAGAAACGUAAGUGAGAUGUCUUACUCCUCCACCAUCUUGAUCCUUCUCCCCAUAGGUAUUCUUGAUGCCUUCUUUCCUCAGCUCAUUUAUCAAAGGGGUCUGUGAUUUGCUGCUUUAAUUCAUGACCCCAAAUUUGGGAUUAUAAAGAACUUUAAAGGUUAGGGAACAAUGUAAGUCAGCUAUAAUUAAAAAAAAAAUUAAAAAGUAACAACAACAACAACAACAGAAAAAGGUUAACGAAGUGGGAAUCAAAUCCCUCAGAAUGGUCUCUGACUCCUCCUCCACCCCCUGCAGUCAUUACCUGGUCUUGUCUAUCGUGCUUUAAGAAUGUGUGCUGACUGGGUCCACAGCUGUCUUGCAGCCACCCUGCUUGCCUGGACCAAGAGGUCCCUUAGCUGAUCUCCCCAGGUCCUUUGGCUCCCCUCUUGUCUUCUUUACACUGUGGCCAACGAGAACAUUUAAAAUGCAGCUCUAAUUGCAUUACCUCCCUUGCUGUUAGUGCUUCAAAGCCAGCCUCUUGCUCUUAACAUCAAGGCACAAUUUUGUCACAUAAUUUAUAGUGACACCCAUAUCCUGGUUUCUACCUCAGCUUAUCUUCUGUUAAGGAUUUGCUGUCUUUUCUUAGUCACAUUAUCUUCUGGUGUUCUCCAGGCUAUAGGGCCUUAUUUUCAAAAUCCUUUUCUCUUUUUCUAACACAUUUCCUUGAUAUCAUUGUAAAAUGUCACGUUCUAAGAAAACCUUUUCCUCGUCUCCCUAAUCAGAUCAGCUUCACCCAUUAAAAAAUUUUAAAGCAACUUGUAUUUCUCUUUUGUGGCAUGUGUGACAGUUUGUCUCACAUCUCUUUAUGUGAUUAUUGGAUGAAUAUCUGUGUCUACCCCAGAAUUUUAUUUUCUCAGUGGGCAGGGAUUGGGCUUUGUUCAAUUUUUUUCUGUCUUGUGUUUAUAUCACUGACAAGUGAUCAGCAUUUGAUAAAAAUUUUUUUGAAUGAAUGAAUGAUUUUGUAUAUCAGGUGGUGUUAUCAACUGAGGGAUGAAUGGCCAUUAUCUCCACAGGUGUACAGAGAUAUUGAUUUAAGAAUUUAGAGCAUCCCUGAUAUUCUGGUAGUUAUGGAGUUUUCUAAGUUGCAUAUUUAAGAUUUCUUUAUAGAACAAUGAAAAACUUGCAAAGGUUAGAGCAUAAAGACCAGAAAUGAAUUUGUUCUGCUUAGAGAUUUACAUCAGAUCUUUACAUGGUUGAAACUUUCUUUAUUUUUUCAUCUCGCUGGGUUUUCUAGCAAGGUAUGUGCUGGGACAUUCUAGAGAAAGUGACAUCAUUAGUUUCUUUCUGAAGUAUUGCAGUUAUCCAUCUUGAAAUAAUAUGCUUGCCAUUCUGCUUCCUAAAUAUGUAUAUCUACAUGUAUAUGUGCAUAUUUAUUAUAUUUGCUGAAAAAUAGUAUAUAUGCCGAUUAUGCAUUAUUUAAAUCUUUUGAAGCUGUGAUGCUUAAAAGUUACCUUGGCAAUAAGAUAUUUAUUUUUAAUUUCUGGGAAAAAUUAUUCCAGUGUCUAAAUACUUCACUUUAAUUCCCUUCUCUUCCUCCUCUUCUUCUCUUUAAAAAAAAAAAUUGGCAAGAUAACUGCACUCCUUCUUAAGUGUGGUAAUUAUAAGUGUUCAGUUUUCUUCUCAAGUCCUCUGGUUGAAUGUUUGGCUAGAGGGUGUUUAUAGUGCCUCCUUCUAGUAUCUUGGCCUUUAGACUACAUUUCCAUGGUACCUCUUGGACCCGUAAUUAAAAAAUCUUUUUUUUCAGAUUGUUUAAUCAAUUGGGGAUUCAGAAAGUACAGAUUUUUCUAUAGUAAUAAAAUUUUUGGCAUCUGCAUACUCUUGCACUGUCCAUUCAUUUUUCCUUUAAUACACAAAGUAAAUAAUGGCAAGUGGAAGGUGACCACUUACAUGUCCCUGUCUCCAGAAUUGACUGUAUGCUUUCAUAUAGACUGAAAGAAUCAAUACUGAAAGAAUCAUACUCUGAAAGAAUCAAUACUUUUUUUUUUUGGUCCAAGAAAGCAUGGGUAGCCUUUUUCAUUAAAAACAUUAAAGAAAUACACAACUUUUCAAGCAGCGUUUGGGGAUUUAGAAUGAACUAUCGCCCUCGUAAAGUGUGCUUUGCUUUUAAAAUGUAAAGAUCUUCUUUCUUUAAAGGGAAUUGUCCACUCUGCAGAAAUGCAGUCGGAGUUUUUACUCCCUUUGGCACCUGGUUCUCUGUAUUCUGAGCUACUCUGAGGAGCACGGAAUAUUGGUAUCACUGAAAGUUGUCUAUGACCCGAUGCUCUCAUGUCUCUGGGUCGGAUGGAAAUAAAAAUGCACAGUGUGGGAGCUCUGAGUGUCACUUACAUUUGGAGACUUACUGAGAGCUAUAGCGCGGGAGACAGCCUCUCAGAUAGCUCUGAGGAACUGUUCCAAAGAAAUAAGGGGGAGGGAGGUCCGCAUAUAUGUGAUGCUGGGAGAAAGGGGUACGUGCAGUCAAGCACACAUCUUGGUAGAAGAUUACUGCGAGUCGUGAGGCACAAGUUAUCUUAGUGUUUUUAGUGCUUUUCUAAGUAUGGCAAGAUGUAGGAAAUUGAGUUCAUAAAAUUUUAUCCUGAAAAUGUUUAACUAUCUGAAGGCCUGUCCUGCCAGUUUUCGCAGAGCACAGAGGGUCUCAUUCCUGAUCUCUGUCCUGAAUUCCUGUCAGGGAAACUGCAGUGGCUAAUGACUCAAUCCUUGUAGAACAGGGUGGUAAAUGACAUUCUUUAGUUGGCAUGUGUUAAGCUAGGAAGCUUCCUAUUUAUGGUUCACAUAGUUAACUGGCCUGAACUUCUUUGUUUUACUUAAGAUAUCUCGUGGACUGAUGUAAAGUUCUAAGGCCAUGGAUAAUUUGUCUAUAUCAAGAUAGUUUGUAUAUGCAACUAGAGGUUCUCAUACUAAGUGAAGUAAGUCAGAAAGAGAAAGCCAAAUACCAUAUGAUGUCUCAUAUGUGGAAUCUAAGAUAUGGCACAAAUGAACCUAUCUACGAAACAGAAACAGGUCAUGGAUAUGGAACACAGACAUGUGGUUGCCAAGGGGAAGGGGGAAGGAGUGGGAUGGAUGGAAAUUUGGGAUUGGUAGAUGCAAACGGUUAUAUUUAGAAUGGAUAAGCAAUGUGGGGCUACUAUAGAGUACAGCACAGGGAACUAUAUCCACACUCUUGGAUAGACCAUGAUGAAAGAUAGCAUAAGAAAAGGAAUGUAUAUAUAUAUAUAUAUGUAUGAUAAAGUCACUUUGUUGUGCAGCAGAAAUUGGCACAACAUUGUAAAUCAACUAUUCUUUAAUUGAAAAAAAAGAUAGUUGUAUAAUAGUUUGGAAGGAAUAAGGAAGAAAUGAAAUAUAAAUGUUGUACGUUAUGUCAUUUGAACUACAGAAUUGAAAUAGUAAUAGUCCAUUUAAAAUUUAUUAACUUUUUGCAUUGAUUUUUCCUUAUAUCCAGUUUUAUUCAGUCAGUUGCUAUUAUUGUUGAAUCCUAAAACAAAAAUAGAGAGGCAUUUAAAUUUCCACCCUCCCACGAUUGUUCAUCAAAUUGAUCAGUUUAUUCAGGUUAAGAUUUUCCACCUGAGUGUUUACUUUUCAUAGUUCUUACAGCAUCUUGUUCAUAAUUGUUACUUUUUAAUGGAUAGAAAAAUGAGAUUAAUGCAUCUAUAUCUAUAUGUACUAUAUAUCAAUAUAUCCAGCCUGACUACCUAUUUGCCUCUCGAUCAAUCCAUCCAUCAAGAGAGGUUGGCACUUGUGUCCUUAGAUGUGCUUCUUACUCAUGGUAAAAUAAUAACUUCUCUUUUGUUCUUUUUCAUAGAUAUUUUCUCUAGUGCAUAAGGCAAAGUCAGUGUGGUUUGCUCUUCAAUUUUGGAAGAGACUCUUUAUGUGUAAGCAUAGGCAGCAUAUUGCAUCAAUGGGUGAAUUCUUUGUUUUUUGACUGUGACCUUGUAGCUGAUUUUUAGGCUUGAUUUCAAUGGACAGAACUCAUGUAGUCCAUGUAAGACAACUGGUUUAUCUCCUGCAACUAUUGUUUAGAAUUUUGUGAAAUUCUGUAUUUCUUGAAGUGUUGUUUUAUUAUAAUUUAUUUUUCCACCCAAGCUAUGGAGAGUUUCCACAUGAAGCUCCCUCUGAGGUUCAUGAUUGAGAAUGUAGAGGAGGAAAAAUAAUUUCCCCUUUAUUCUUCUAGAUUCUUGGCUGAGACAGUCCCUGCAGUAAAAGAAGGUUAACAGGAGAAAAACAAACAAAAGUUUAAUAACAUGUAUGCAUCCUAUAUUCAUGGCAGAUAGCCAGGUAAACUGAGUAACUCCCUCAAUGGCCCAACUACCACCUUAAAUACCAUCUCCAACUGAAAACAAAAAAAAAGAUGUCAGAGGGAGUCAGUUAUGGGAGUUUUUCAGGCAAAGCGCAGUAAACAGGGGUAUUGUUGUUAGGGAGAUUGAAGGCAGUGUCUUCUCUAUUAGUAAGAGUUUCUAUAGAUUUAGUCAUCCUUUUCUUCCAAGUACAGAGAGGGAGACACCCCCGCAAAUGGAGAUGUCCCUUAUAAAUGUAUAUGUCUCUUACAGAAGGUUAAGUUAUACACAACUCUCAGAGCAUCUCCUGUGUUUGCUCUUUCUUAAAAAUAAGCAGCCCCACCCCGAACCAAAAAGGCAUAUUUUGGGGUGAUGUAUCUUGCUCCCUUUCAGGAAGCAUUGUUUCUCUACACUCGGAAUCUCUGUUAUGAAUUGUGUCAGUUUAUAAGCCUUGAACCAUAUUACUCACUUGUAAAAUAUUAAUAAAAAAUAUGUGUCCUCCCUACUUUUACUGUGUUACUGGAAGAAUCAAAGUAAAAUUAUACACCAUAAAAAAUUAAAUAAAUAUUCAUGAGUUCAUAUUCACAAACAGUUGGAUAAAAAAAUGAAUGGGGAGGAGUUCCUGUCAUGGCUCAAUGAUAAUGAACGUGACUAGUAUUCAUGAGGACACAAUCCCUGGCCUCACUCAGUGGAUUAAGGAUCCACUGUUGCCAUGAGCUGUGGUGUAGGUCACAGACAUGGCUUGGAUCCCAUGUUGCUGUGGCUGUGGUGUGGGCCAGUGGCUACAGCUCUGAUUAGACCCGUAGCCUGG
This 6502-nucleotide long non-coding RNA is filed under the name Sus scrofa (pig). Its description in RNAcentral is "lncRNA (ENSSSCG00060033680.1)". The record is from RNAcentral. Lineage: Eukaryota; Metazoa; Chordata; Mammalia; Artiodactyla; Suidae.